This 427-nucleotide ribosomal RNA is filed under the name uncultured bacterium. RNAcentral's name for it is "bacterial SSU rRNA". It matches the Rfam family "Bacterial small subunit ribosomal RNA", at positions 355 to 774 of the family's 1533-position model. The record is from RNAcentral.
UGGGGAAUUUUGGACAAUGGACGCAAGUCUGAUCCAGCCAUGCCGCGUGCGGGAAGAAGGCCUUCGGGUUGUAAACCGCUUUUGUCAGGGAAGAAACGAGUUUCUCUAAUACAGAGACUUAAUGACGGUACCUGAAGAAUAAGCACCGGCUAACUACGUGCCAGCAGCCGCGGUAAUACGUAGGGUGCAAGCGUUAAUCGGAAUUACUGGGCGUAAAGCGUGCGCAGGCGGUUAUAUAAGACAGAUGUGAAAUCCCCGGGCUCAACCUGGGAACUGCAUUUGUGACUGUAUAGCUAGAGUACAGUAGAGGGGGAUGGAAUUCCGCGUGUAGCAGUGAAAUGCGUAGAUAUGCGGAGGAACACCGAUGGCGAAGGCAAUCCCCUGGACCUGUACUGACGCUCAUGCACGAAAGCGUGGGGAGCAAACA